UAGGGAAUCUUCGGCAAUGGACGAAAGUCUGACCGAGCAACGCCGCGUGAGUGAAGAAGGUUUUCGGAUCGUAAAACUCUGUUGUUAGAGAAGAACAAGGACGUUAGUAACUGAUCGUCCCCUGACGGUAUCUAACCAGAAAGCCACGGCUAACUACGUGCCAGCAGCCGCGGUAAUACGUAGGUGGCAAGCGUUGUCCGGAUUUAUUGGGCGUAAAGCGAGCGCAGGCGGUUUCUUAAGUCUGAUGUGAAAGCCCCCGGCUCAACCGGGGAGGGUCAUUGGAAACUGGGAGACUUGAGUGCAGAAGAGGAGAGUGGAAUUCCAUGUGUAGCGAUGAAAUGCGUAGAUAUAUGGAGGAACACCAGUGGCGAAGGCGGCUCUCUGGUCUGUAACUGACGCUGAGGCUCGAAAGCGUGGGGAGCAAACAGG
This 429-nucleotide ribosomal RNA is filed under the name Chloroflexota bacterium. RNAcentral describes it as "Chloroflexi bacterium partial 16S ribosomal RNA". It matches the Rfam family "Bacterial small subunit ribosomal RNA", at positions 355 to 776 of the family's 1533-position model. The record is from RNAcentral. Lineage: Bacteria; Bacillati; Chloroflexota.